This 276-nucleotide ribosomal RNA is filed under the name Lichenobarya usneae. Its description in RNAcentral is "partial 28S ribosomal RNA". It matches the Rfam family "Eukaryotic large subunit ribosomal RNA", at positions 1 to 278 of the family's 3401-position model. Lineage: Eukaryota; Fungi; Ascomycota; Sordariomycetes; Hypocreales; Hypocreaceae. The record is from RNAcentral.
GUUGACCUCGGAUCAGGUAGGAAUACCCGCUGAACUUAAGCAUAUCAAUAAGCGGAGGAAAAGAAACCAACAGGGAUUGCCCCAGUAACGGCGAGUGAAGCGGCAACAGCUCAAAUUUGAAAUCUGGCCUCACGGCCCGAGUUGUAAUUUGCAGAGGAUGCUUUGGGUGAGGCGCCGCCUGAGUUCCCUGGAACGGGACGCCACAGAGGGUGAGAGCCCCGUCUGGCUGGACGCCGAGCCUGUGUAAAGCUCCUUCGACGAGUCGAGUAGUUUGGG